AUGGAGCUUUGUUGGCAAAAAUCCAUCCAUGGCUCUUAAAAGAAGCAUGGAGGAUUGUGUGAGAGGGUUCUCACCCUUCACACUCCACCUCCUAAAGUUUGCUUAUGCUUUAGCUAUUGGCUUCUCUAAUCAAUAACCACAAAAGGGUAUGACACAUGGAGGAACAUAGUUCUCUCUAUGAGUGGCAUGAAGCAGAGAAGCAUUCUCCAUGAGCAGAGAAACUUUGGCUACAGCCAAGCAAACCGGCAAGUCACAAAAAGGCAAUGGACUACUCUUUCUCAUUAAGGGGUCCU
Glycine max (soybean) is the source of this 293-nucleotide non-coding RNA. NCBI's taxonomy places the organism in Eukaryota, Viridiplantae, Streptophyta, Magnoliopsida, Fabales, Fabaceae. The record is from Rfam.